Molecule: ribosomal RNA, 253 nt
Filed under: uncultured bacterium
Lineage: Bacteria
Description: partial 16S ribosomal RNA
Rfam family: Bacterial small subunit ribosomal RNA
Source: RNAcentral
GACAGAGGUGCCAAGCGUUAGGCGGAAUCACUGGGCUUAAAGCGUGUGUAGGCGGAUGUCUAAGUACCUUGUGAAAUCCCACGGCUCAACCGUGGAACUGCUUGGUAUACUGGAUGUCUUGAGCCAUCUAGGGGCUACCGGAACAAAUGGUGGAGCGGUGAAAUGCGUAGAUAUCAUUUGGAACGCCAAUGGUGAAAACAGGUUGCUGGGGGUGUGCUGACGCUGAGACACGAAAGCCAGGGGAGCGAACGGG